Molecule: long non-coding RNA, 2825 nt
Organism: Caretta caretta (loggerhead turtle)
Lineage: Eukaryota; Metazoa; Chordata; Testudines; Cheloniidae
Source: RefSeq, a predicted model, not a curated record
ACAAAGUUCUGAAACCAGAAGAUUGAUGGGAGACGGGAAGAGUUUAAGUGCUGCGAUUAGGAACUAUGGGCAAUGUCCUUAUGAGGAAGAUAUGCAGAUGGACAGCAAUGAUUUGCCCAGAAUAUAGCAAACAACCAAAUAUGAUGCAAAAACCCCCACCCUAGAAUAAAGAAAGUAUUCUGCUUGCUUGAAACUAGAGCAAAGUAAAAAUUUCACAGCAAACAACGUAUUUGACAAAUUGAUCCUCUUUCUGCUUGCAAAACAUCCAUAAGCAGUUGGUGCCGUGCCUCGGAUAGCAACGCCCGGCUGAGAAAGCGACAACUACUACGGACCGUUCCCCUUCAAACCCCAAGGCGCCAAUCAAGAGGUGAAAGAAGCACUACUCAAGGAUCCUGAGCAACCCUGUCAUUCAUUAGAACCAGGAGAGUGGGUCUACAUAAAGGUCCAUCAGCGAAAGACUGCUCUGGCUCCGCACUGGAAAGGCUGUUACCAAGUUCUGCUAACUACCAACAUCACUGUGAAGUGCCAAGGACUAACUGCCUGCACUCAUGCAUCUCACUGCAAGAAGGCCCCUCCACCUCAGGAUGACCCUCCGACUGCUGAUCAGCCUGUCCCUCCUUAUGGUACUACUUUUCCUCCUUCUGGACAGCAGGAGAAAAGGACAAGGAGAAGUGCUGGUAACUUCUCCCUUGUUCACUAACAGAAUCACCAUACAUUCACCAUCUCUGGAGGAACCCAGUUAUUACAGGGUGACAUGCUGGUAACCUCUCCCCUGUAUGAUGCUGAACUAUGACUGUUCCAGAAAAAAAGAAGAAGUUAUCUGUUCUUUGAAGAUUUGCCUAAGGACAGACACUCUGUCUUUCCGGCAAUUGCAUGAAUAAAUUGUCUCUGACUUGUUGCUGACAAACUCAGCAUGAAGACUCUGUUUUCUUCCACAGGUGGUUAAUAAAAUUCAUCACUGUUGGACAUGCAGACCUGUAAGUAUUACACUUUUUCCACACUAGUAACUUGAGUGACAUUACUGGGUGCACGCAUUUCUCCUCCUGCGGGGAGGUUGAGAGAACAAAAACAGGAUAGAUGUUAAUCAUGUUGCUUAUUGCACUACUAGAAAGUACUCAGAUACUGUGGUGAUGAGCAUGGUAUAAAAAGCCUAUAUUGAAUAAAAUAAAAUAGAAUAGAACUAGGCAUUCUAUGGGGCUUGUGUAAGUGAGCAGGUAGCCUGCAUAGGCCUGCUGUUCUUACACAAAUAGUCAUUUGCCCAGAUAUCUCUUUCUCCCCUCUAUCUACUCUUAGACACUUCUCAGUGUAUCUCAGUUAUGCUAGCAAACAUAUUUUUUUUCUGAUUGGUCAACAGUAUUAUCUUUUUACUUCUGGAAAUAAAUCUUAGGUUUUUCCCUUUACCUUCUCUAGAUAAAAUCUCUACAGACUUUUUUUGUAAGUCUCUACUCUUUGAGAUUGGGGUCAUUUUUAUCAAACUCAUUUUACUGAUUUUUAUAAUAUUUUGCUUAAUGGUAUAUAUAACAUAUAGAUUUUUAGCUAAUGACCUGAGGUCUGUGUAUGCUAUAUGUCCCUAUGUAAUUUAGGUGUUUAUGGAUCCAUUUUAUCAGAAGUUAAGUGGACAGGAGGGGUUUUUUAUUUAGAUUGACUUACAAUCCUUCAGUUUUUGACUGACACUUUAAACCUGACAUUUAUAUUGUGUCAGAAUGCUUACCACCAAGAAUGAAUGAGGGAUCACUGACAAAGAAACAGACCACGAGCAAAAACUAAUUUUGUGCUUUCUGACAUUGGUCACUCCUUUCUGUUAUUUUCAGUGUCUCUGGUGUGGGAACAAACAGGAGACAGUUUAGAAGGCUUCCCUACUUUGUCUUAGUUCUAAAGGAAAGGCAGCAUUGAUGAUGUAUCAUUUACAUUAAGUGCUACCCUCAGAUCAAUAUACAUAAUGGGUAUCUAUUUUUUAAUUUAAUUUUAUAGAAGCAAAAACCAAAUCAGUAAUACUUUAUGUAAGAAAUUCCAAUUAAUGCUAGUGAAAAAGACUUGACCAUAUCUACAACUAGAAGAAUAUAUCCAAUAUUUUCUAAGUAUUAUUGUUGAGCUUUGCUAGAUUUUGCUAUUCAGGACACCACGUAAUUUUCUCUCUCACACAAAAAAGCAGCACGCUCUCUCCACUUCUUAGCAAGAAUUUAAAACAGAAGUGCUGAAAUGAGGAUUCUCAUUAAAAAGAUCCAUUGCUUUUACAAACUAUCCUGUGGAACAUUUAAUCAUUCUCAUUCACAUUUUCAAAAGACUCUAUAAACUUGAUCUGUUUAAUCCUCACAGUAUCCUUAUGUGGUAAGACAAUAUAAACCCCACUUUCCAGAUGGGGAAACUGAAACAAAGGAAAUCAUGAGACUUACUCAGGUCACAUGCCAAGUCAGAAGAAGAGGCAUGAUUAGAACUCAGUAGUUCCUGGCCUUCUAUCCCCACAGUGUACCUACUUCAUCACACAGCCGCUCUAAACUUAUUUAUCUGUUUACUAGUAUACUGUGAAGUAUUACAAACAAAAUCAAACUUUUUUAUCAAACAGUUGAAAAAUGUACAUUGUAUGAUGCAUUAUUCUUGCCUUUUUUACUAUUUGUUUGCUUACUUGCUAAAUUAUAAAAUCUAGUAAUUUCCAAUCCACUUGUUAGUGUAAAUUAGCAAGGGUCCACUAAUGUCAAGUUCUCUAUAAUAUUAUUGGGUAUUCUUUUCUUGUAUAGCUCCCAAUUGGUCCUUGUAAUCUAUGGAAUAGCAUUAGGCUUGUACAUGUAUUUGCAAGUGUCUUUGUUUUUUAUUUGAUUUGUAUUUAA